This 490-nucleotide ribosomal RNA is filed under the name uncultured bacterium. Its description in RNAcentral is "partial 16S ribosomal RNA". It matches the Rfam family "Bacterial small subunit ribosomal RNA", at positions 30 to 507 of the family's 1533-position model. The record is from RNAcentral.
AUUGAACGCUGGCGGCAGGCCUAACACAUGCAAGUCGAACGGUAACAGGAAGCAGCUUGCUGCUUUGCUGUCGCGUGGCGGACGGGUGUGUAAUGUCUGGGAGACUGCCCGUUGGCGGGGGAUAACUACUGGAAACGGUAGCUCAUACCGCAUAACGUCGCAAGACCAAAGAGGGGGACCUUAGGGCCUCUUGCCAUCGGAUGUGCCCAGAUGGGAUUAGCUAGUAGUCGGGGGAACGGCUCACCUAGGCGACGAUCCCUAGCUGGUCUGAGAGGAUGACCAGCCACACUGGAACUGAGACACGGUCCAGACUCCUACGGGAGGCAGCAGUGGGGAAUAUUGCACAAUGGGCGCAAGCCUGAUGCAGCCAUGCCGCGUGUAUGAAGAAGGCCUUCGGGUUGUAAAGUACUUUCAGCGGGGAGGAAGAGAGGAAAGUUAAUACCUUUGCGCAUUGACGUUACCCAAAGAAGAAGCACCGGCUAACUCCGUG